UUUGCGUGCUUUAACACAUGCAAGUCGAGCGGACAGAUGGGAGCUUGCUCCCUGAUGUUAGCGGCGGACGGGUGAGUAACACGUGGGUAACCUGCCUGUAAGACUGGGAUAACUCCGGGAAACCGGGGCUAAUACCGGAUGCUUGAUUGAACCGCAUGGUUCAAUUAUAAAAGGUGGCUUUUAGCUACCACUUACAGAUGGACCCGCGGCGCAUUAGCUAGUUGGUGAGGUAACGGCUCACCAAGGCGACGAUGCGUAGCCGAACUGAGAGGGUGAUCGGCCACACUGGGACUGAGACACGGCCCAGACUCCUACGGGAGGCAGCAGUAGGGAAUCUUCCGCAAUGGACGAAAGUCUGACGGAGCAACGCCGCGUGAGUGAUGAAGGUUUUCGGAUCGUAAAACUCUGUUGUUAGGGAAGAACAAGUACCGUCGAAUAGGGCGUACCUGAUCGGACUUUCG
RNAcentral lists this ribosomal RNA (461 nucleotides) under Bacillus licheniformis. RNAcentral's name for it is "bacterial SSU rRNA". It matches the Rfam family "Bacterial small subunit ribosomal RNA", at positions 39 to 495 of the family's 1533-position model. Lineage: Bacteria; Bacillati; Bacillota; Bacilli; Caryophanales; Bacillaceae. The record is from RNAcentral.